RNAcentral lists this long non-coding RNA (205 nucleotides) under Mytilus galloprovincialis (Mediterranean mussel). Lineage: Eukaryota; Metazoa; Mollusca; Bivalvia; Mytilida; Mytilidae. The record is from RNAcentral.
UUCUCCUUAUCCAUUUGAUAUAAGUGAUAUGCAUUUCUAUCUUGUAAACCAUAAGUGAUAGAGACCUAGGAUCUUUUGAUUUGAGGUCCUUGGUCCAAAAAAAAUGAAAAUUAGGUCAAGGUCAAAGGUCAAGGUCAUAUUCUAAUUUUUUAAUUUGGCUUAUUUUCACUUAUUCCCAAAAACCGUAUAAGAUAUUAACAAAUUA